GAUGAACGCUGGCGGCGUGCCUAAUACAUGCAAGUCGAGCGAACGGACGAGAAGCUUGCUUUUCUGAUGUUAGCGGCGGACGGGUGAGUAACACGUGGAUAACCUACCUAUAAGACUGGGAUAACUUCGGGAAACCGGAGCUAAUACCGGAUAAUAUUUUGAACCGCAUGGUUCAAAAGUGAAAGACGGUCUUGCUGUCACUUAUAGAUGGAUCCGCGCUGCAUUAGCUAGUUGGUAAGGUAACGGCUUACCAAGGCAACGAUGCAUAGCCGACCUGAGAGAGGGAUCGGCCACACUGGAGCGGAGACACGGUCAAGACGACUACGAGAGGCAGCAGUAGGGAAUCUGCCGCAGUAGGCGAAAGCCUGACGGAGCAAGGCCGCGUGAGUGAUGAAGGUCUUCGGAGCGUAAAACUCUGUUAUUAGGGAAGAACAUAUGUGUAAGGAACUGUGCACAUCGUGACGGUACCUAAUAAGAAAGCCACGGCUAACUACGUG
Molecule: ribosomal RNA, 497 nt
Filed under: uncultured bacterium
Lineage: Bacteria
Description: partial 16S ribosomal RNA
Rfam family: Bacterial small subunit ribosomal RNA
Source: RNAcentral